RNAcentral lists this ribosomal RNA (445 nucleotides) under uncultured bacterium. RNAcentral describes it as "bacterial SSU rRNA". It matches the Rfam family "Bacterial small subunit ribosomal RNA", at positions 354 to 796 of the family's 1533-position model. The record is from RNAcentral.
GUGAGGAAUAUUGGUCAAUGGACGAAAGUCUGAACCAGCCAUGCCGCGUGCAGGAAGAAUGCCCUAUGGGUUGUAAACUGCUUUUAUAUGGGAAGAAUCCUUCCGACGUGUCGGAAGUUGACGGUACCGUAUGAAUAAGCACCGGCUAACUCCGUGCCAGCAGCCGCGGUAAUACGGAGGGUGCAAGCGUUAUCCGGAUUUAUUGGGUUUAAAGGGUCCGUAGGCGGAAUUGUAAGUCAGUGGUGAAAGCCCACAGCUCAACUGUGGAACUGCCAUUGAUACUGCUUUUCUUGAAUAUAGUUGAAGUGAACGGAAUGUAACAUGUAGCGGUGAAAUGCAUAGAGAUGUUACAGAACACCAAUUGCGAAGGCAGUUCACUAAGCUAUUAUUGACGCUAAGGGACGAAAGCGUGGGUAGCGAACAGGAUUAGAAACCCUAGUAGUCC